AUUGAACGCUGGCGGCAGGCCUAACACAUGCAAGUCGAACGGUAACAGGAAGCAGCUUGCUGCUUCGCUGACGAGUGGCGGCCGGGUGAGUAAUGUCUGGGAAGCUGCCUGAUGGGGGGGGAUAACUACUGGAAACGGUAGCUAAUACCGCAUAAUGUCGCAAGACCAAAGAGGGGGACCUUCGGGCCUCUGGCCAUCGGAUGUGCCCAGAUGGGAUUAGCGUGUUGGUGGGGUAACGGCUCACCAAGGCGACGAUCCCUAGCUGGUCUGAGAGGAUGACCAGCCACCCUGGAACUGAGACACGGUCCAGACUCCUACGGGAGGCAUCAGUGGGGAAUAUUGCACAAUGGGCGCAAGCCUGAUGCAGCCAUGCCGCGUGCAUGAAGAAGGCCUUCGGGUUGUAAAGUACUUUCAGCGGGGAGGAAGGGAGUAAAGUUAAUACCUUUGCUCAUUGACGUUACCCGCAGAAGAAGCACCGGCUAACUCCGUG
This 490-nucleotide ribosomal RNA is filed under the name uncultured bacterium. RNAcentral's name for it is "partial 16S ribosomal RNA". It matches the Rfam family "Bacterial small subunit ribosomal RNA", at positions 30 to 507 of the family's 1533-position model. The record is from RNAcentral.